This 232-nucleotide ribosomal RNA is filed under the name uncultured bacterium. Its description in RNAcentral is "partial 16S ribosomal RNA". It matches the Rfam family "Bacterial small subunit ribosomal RNA", at positions 100 to 334 of the family's 1533-position model. The record is from RNAcentral.
CGGGACGGGUGAGUAAUGUCUGGGAAACUGCCCGAUGGAGGGGGAUAACUACUGGAAACGGUAGCUAAUACCGCAUAACGUCGCAAGACCAAAGAGGGGACCUUCGGGCCUCUUGCCAUCGGAUGUGCCCAGAUGGGAUUAGCUAGUAGGUGGGGUAAUGGCUCACCUAGGCGACGAUCCCUAGCUGGUCUGAGAGGAUGACCAGCCACACUGGAACUGAGACACGGUCCAG